Molecule: long non-coding RNA, 600 nt
Filed under: Manihot esculenta (cassava)
Lineage: Eukaryota; Viridiplantae; Streptophyta; Magnoliopsida; Malpighiales; Euphorbiaceae
Description: long non-coding RNA (MESC_LNC012297)
Source: RNAcentral
GGCCCAUGCGGAGAUGUGGAGAAGGCGUUGAAGCGGCGGUCCAAUUUGAAGUGUGGCCCAUGCAGUUGUGUUUUGCGAGAAUUCGUGCAGGCGGGGCCCAUAUGUUUCAAGUGCAGGAGAAUUGUAAGGUGAGCUUGGCCGUGAGUGCUGGUCCAUAAUGUGGAGUCCACGUGCUGGUGAAGUGCUGGCAUGUUGAAGUGGCGGGGCCCGUUGCGCUGAUCCAUGGCGUGAAAGGGCUGUGUGGAAGGCGUGAAAUGGCGCGGGCCCACGUGAGGAUUUGCUGGCCAUGUGCAGUUGGAGAUGGCUAUGUGAAGAUUGAAGCAUUGCACUUUGGCGGGCCUUGCGCGCAGGCGGGUCCUCGUCCAUGUGAAGGAACGUGGGCCCAUUCGAAUUGGUCCAUUUUCAAGGUGAGCUUGCAUGGGCUGUCCAAGCUUGAAUAUUUAAGCCACAAAAUAUUUUCCUUUUGCUUCAAAUAAGGCAGUUUUAGGGGGUUUUUUUUUCAAAUUGUCCUUUUAUACCAUUUUCUGCAAAAUAAUAUUAAAAGCAAUAAAUUAAGCAGAAAUCAUAUAAAUAUUUAUCAAUAAUAUUAAUAUAAAAUGG